RNAcentral lists this RNase P RNA (338 nucleotides) under Deltaproteobacteria bacterium. RNAcentral's name for it is "RNase P RNA component class A". It matches the Rfam family "Bacterial RNase P class A". From Rfam's summary of the family: Ribonuclease P (RNase P) is a ubiquitous endoribonuclease, found in archaea, bacteria and eukarya as well as chloroplasts and mitochondria. Its best characterised activity is the generation of mature 5'-ends of tRNAs by cleaving the 5'-leader elements of precursor-tRNAs. Cellular RNase Ps are ribonucleoproteins. The record is from RNAcentral. Lineage: Bacteria; Pseudomonadati; Myxococcota; Myxococcia.
CAAGCAAAAACAGUUAGUCGCGAAAGUCUUUUUUGAUAAGGCUUUUGAGGAAAGUCCGGGCUCCGCAGAGCAUAACGCCGCUUUAUAUCGGUGAAGGUAACUUUAAGGAAAGCGCAACAGAAAAUAUACCGCUAUAAUAAUAAUUUAUUAUAGCAAGGGUGAAAUAGUGAGGUAAGAGCUCACUUAGGCAUUAUGCAAAUAGUGUCUAUGGCAAGCCCCGUUAGGAGCAAGAACAAAUAGGAAGACUUUAAGGCUGCUCGUCUUUGAUGGUUUUCGGGUUGUUCGCAUAGAGAAAUGACUGAUUUAUACAGAACCCGGCUUACGGAUUUGCUUGCGAU